AGAGAUCUUGAUGCAGACGUCCUUUUGGAUUUCUUUUUAAUAAUGUGUGACCCUUCACCUUUGAUCCCUUGACCUGCAUUACCUUGAUCGUUGCACCAAACGGUUGGACCGGAUGCCAGGAGGGGACCAGUGCGCUGGCAGUCGACUUCCUGUGGAAUUUCUCUGAGGGUGGAGGUUUGGCUUAUCUGCUUUUCAGCUCUUCUAGACGCUGGAAAUUCCAUUUUGCUUUUGUUUUCUCUGGAUUCCUUCCCACAAGACUGAAGUGAAUUCAGCAUGGAUUAUUGGGGAGAACCUUGGCUGGGAUAAGAAUAAUUGCUGUGCCUUACAGACAUACCGAUGAUUUCUUUUAAGUUGUUCACCUGCACUUUGUCUGUUUCCUCAACUGUAAAAUAUGGGUAACUACCUCCUUUGUAAAAAUGUUUUGGGGUGUACUGGUAAUUAUAUAAAUGAAUUGCUAAUUACAGUGAUUAUUACUUGGACCCAGUCUAGGUCUGGGCGAUGUUCCUGUUGUGAUGAACACAUGAAACAUGCUGCAACUCGCAUUUCUCUAUCCUUUUUAGUGGGACCUGGAAGGGGGAAGAUGCUACAGUGCCCAUAUGCAAAUUCCUAAUGAGAAGUGCUACUUAUCACCCAAGUCAAUCCAUUAACUUCCUGUCUUCCUUUAUCUGCAUUCAUUAGCAGGAGAGUAGGCUGACGAGAUGCGAAGAAAUUACUAAUUCAGUAGUUGGUUCCAUGUGUAAUUUGAUAAUACAGAUUUAUGCUCCUGGCAUCCACUUUUGCUCUUGGAGAUCUGUGGAAGAAAGCAGAUGGGGAUACCAGUUGGAUCGGGGCCAGCCUGUACGCCACCUUAUGGCCUCAAUUCCUUUGGAAGUUUUGACCUUGAUGCAAAGGAAGGUGCCUUUAAAGCUGUUGAUCUCACUUCCUUUUCCCUGUAAAAGACUGCAGCUGUUAGGUAAAAUUUGCAAGUUGUUGAUUAUCUAAUAUUUCAUUUGUCUUUCUCUUCUACAUUUAUUUAGGACAUAUUUUCUUUGUAGUUGGGGAUGUUUUUACUAAGCAAAGUAGAAGAGGGAUUGAUAUUCUUUAAGGUGAACAUGAAGUAUUCUCGUCCAGGCGAUACUGCUGCUACUGCCAUGGAUGAUGCUGUAGUUUCUGACAGUAAUAGUAAUGAAUAUCCUAACAUCAGUUCAAGAUGAGAGGCUCCUACUCUGUGUAAGCCUUCUUCUGGAACACAAAUUCUGUGGCACAGUAGCAAUAGGAAACGCGUUCUUGGUUUCUCUUGUCUUACUGCAGUUCCUGCAUGCUUUUUUCUGCCUGCCGUGUCCAUUGCACUCUGUGCUUCUGGCUUCUCUUGAUGGAAUUUCGGAUGGAAUUUCUUGAUGGAAUUCUUGAUGGAAUUUCAGACUUUUUUUUUUCAGACACUUUCCAUCAACUUUAAGCUUUCUUCAUCCUGGAACAGCUGUUGCAGGUCUUGGUAAUGUCUCCAUGCACACAGCGCUUGGUGGCAGGCUAGUGGUGAUGCGAUCAGCAGCUCCUGCUGUCUGCUUUCUUUGACUACUUGCUGAUGGUUUCCUCUGUGAGGGAGAGACGUGUCUGUUCACGCAGGGUUAUCCUGCACUGCAAGACUGCCUGUUCUCUCUGCUGAAAUAAGCUCGUGAAAAAGAGGUGGUGCGUGCUUCUGUGCAUUCAUUUGCCUUCUGUCUGACUGUGGCACUGUUUGGUAUAUUUCUUUUGGGGUUAUAUUAAUGUGAAAAAAACCAGUAAGUUUCUCUUAAGAAAAGUUGCUGAUCAGGCAAGUUUCUUCAAUCUCCCCCUUUUAAUUGUAUUUUUCUGGUGAGAAGCAUGUGAAUGGCACAAGUGGAAAAUUAGUUAAAAAGUCCAAAAUAUCACUAAGUUUCAUGAUUGUAGUAAGUGUUUAACUUUCAAGAGAAGGGUUUAGGUAUUGCCUACUGGCAUAUAACGUGAAAAGGCUUUGCAACAAAAAAGGCAGGCAAUUUUUAACUGCAGUUUCACACUUUAGUUUUACUUAUCUGCCUUGUAUGUAUGCAUAAACAUACCUCUACACCUAGGGCCUCAUAUCUGGCAACUUAUUUCUUACUUGGGGGUUAGGUUUAGCUCAGUUGGUUAGAGCAUGGUGCUAAUAAUGCCAAGGUCAUGGGUUUGAUCCCUGUAUGGGCCACUUGUUUGGGGUUGGGCUAGAUGAUCUCCAGAGGUCCCUUCCAACCUUACCAAUUCUAUGAUUCUGUGAUUCUGUGUUGAAAUCAGUCUGGAGUGUAUCGCAUCCUCAGAAUAUUUCUCAAUUGUUGACUAUGCAAAAUAUACUUGAUGUGUUUAGCUGAGAUAUUCUGUUUGAAGAUAACUAAGGGAAAUGAAUGACUUUACAGUUUUUUUUCCAGACUUUUAGAAGUUUUUAAAUGAUAAAAAUACACAAAAUACUCUUUAGUUUUUGCUGAAUGUAUUUACAUAUACAUUGCAGUGGCAUCAAGGAGACUUAUCCUUUCUAUAAGGGCCUAAAACAGCAAGUGUAUUGCAAAGCAGAAUUUAAAAGUAUUGUCGGAGAUGUUUUCAUGUACGAUGCCAGGUGCCUGUCCAUGGCAUACCUGACUCCUACAGUUCGUGUCACAUUUUAACUUCGCAUACCUAUAAAGCUGCAUAGGUGAUAUUCCACAGUCGGACAGCAUAGGCUGGUGUGGUAUAAGCAAGUUAAAGCUUUUGGAUCCCUCCCUCACCUCGCAGGCUCCUACUUAUCCUGUAACAGUAUCUGAAAUGGCAGUGAACAGGCAAGUUGUAGCAUGCCAUUUAGCUCAACAAGGUAAUCUUAGCCUAAGUAGCAUUUCACCAGUGUGGAGGGGUAAAUUUAGCUCAAAACCAACUCUUUCUCAGCAAUUCACAAAUACUGUUUCAUCCCUCUCUUACAUCUGUUUUUGUUGUGGUCCGAGGUAAGGUAUAGGUAAUUGUGAGGGACUGGCUGGGUGGUGGUUGGGGGAGAUAAGAUGAUGGAGGUGCAGCCUUAUCAUACCCUCAGACAAAAACCCAGGGAAGUUGGAGGAGAUGAUGUUAGCAAUAGUAAGUCUUCCAGUUGAGCUCUUGAUCAAAGAUGAUGGCGUGUGUGUUUUUUUAAUCAAGCUGCAGGUGAUGAUUCUAUCAGCUUAUUGUAAUUCCUUGACACAGAUUGGUAUUGCUGUCUCUGGGGGGUUAGUGAAACAGUGGUCCCUUUCUUCCAGUGAAUCCUUAGGCUUUUUUCCCAAUGAACAUUUUUGCAACUCUGCUGUUGAUUUCAUAAGUGAUAUCUUUUUUUUCCCCUGACGGAAGAUGUGUGUGUGCAUUUGUAGCAGGUAGCAGUAUGUGAUUCCAAGUAAUUAGAAACAGUUAUUACAAAGUAGCACAUUUAUGAAAAGACAAGAAUUUACUUUGUUACGUGAAGGUAAAAAAAUGAGGGAAUGUCAUCCCUCCUACAGAAAGGGUCCUUACUAUCUUACCUUGCUUUAAAGGGUCUUAAGUAUCAGACAGUUCUUUGUUAGGGAAUCUGUAUUUCUCCUCUGUAUGACUAUAUCGUUAAGAUUUGUUUAAAUUUUAAAUCUGAUAUAUUAAUAUUGGCUGAAGUUAUGUAAAUUUGGGGAAAAUAAUUUCUCUCAACAUAUUUGAUUCCUAUAGAAACAUCUAUUAAGAUUAGCUCAUUCAGUAUGUAACGCUUUGAAAGUGAAUAAUGCCAUAUAAAUGUUAUUCAUUGCACAAAUCAGCUGAUUUGUGUGCAUUCUAGAAGUCUUGAGUGUUGAAACACAGAUAAAUUAGUGCCUCGUCUAAGGAUAAUCAAUAAUUUAGGUUUGAGAUUUAUUCAACUCUAAUUCUAAAAUAUUCUUAAAAAGAAAGUGGAAAAGCAUGUAGUAUCUACUGGAUUUUUGUGUUUUAAUACCUCUUGUAAUGCUGUAAAACAAUAGUGUGUAAACAACAAAACAAAACUUGUUAAAAGCUUGUAUAUUUAAUAAUUAUAAACUCUCUAAAGCCUUCCUCCUCUUAAAAAUUGGAAUGAACCAUCCGAUUCUCAUUGGAAUGAGGAACUGUUUCAUAAAAUCACGGUAGCUUAUGAUAAUAAUGUUUUCAAACAUCUGAAUUAAAAAGUUAGAAGCAUUGUCAUGAAAACAGAAGUAAUAAAGGAUAAGAAGAGAUUCCAGAAUAAAGCUAUUUGUAUUGCUAAAUAGAGGUAUCUUUACUUUUGAGGGCAGAUUUUUUUAAUGUUAUGAUCGAAACUGUAUGUAUUAAUAUGAACUCUAGUUAAAUAGAAGUAAAAGUAAUGUUUUUAUGUCAGCAGUUACUAGAGUAAAGUUGGGGUUUGACUUUUUUUUUUUUUUUUAACUCUGAUUACUUAGCUUUGUAAUUAAGUAUCUAUUCUUUUAUAUACAUAGAUAUCAGUCCAAGUAUGGAUGGCUUCAAUCUUUUCCGACUCUUCCUUGAGCCUUAAAAACAACGAGCAACGACACUGACUGCUUACCAGACCCAUGCGAAAUGGUCAGGUUUCCGUUAGUCUCUUGCUUUAGUAGCCGGGAUGUGUUUCAUGUUGUGCUGUAUCGGCACCUCUUAGGAUGUAUUUGCUGCAGGAAAGUGCAGAAGGCCAAGUGCUUCUAGGCAGUGAGCAAAGGAAGUUUAUGCUGCUGUGUUUCUGCCGGUGGAGCUGCGGGUUGAGGCAGGAGGGUUUCCUUUGCCUGCCGUGUUUCCAGCUACCCCAGUGUAUGGACACUGAAUCCCCACAGGAGGGUGCUAUAAAGGCAUUUAAUGUGAAGAUUUUACAGCGAAGAUCUGUGUCUUUGAGGAAAUGAUCAUUAUAGGAAAGCAAAAGUUACAUUGUUCCAGUAAGCACAAUGCAUUAAUUGUCUCUGGGGAACAAUCUAGAGAGAAAGCCAAUGUUAGUACUUCUUUACAGUAUCAUUAAUACUCUAGUGGGUGCAGCAUAGAACCAGCGAACGUAGAUUGGUUCCUGCAUGAUGAUGUAGGGAGUCUGAAUGAAGACCUCGAGAAAGCUGGUGGUCUAGGCCUGCGUAGGGUCGACUUAAUGUAACUGGCAGGCUGCCCCACGGCUUUCACCACUGCUCCCACUUACCACGACUGUGGGAUCGCUUGUGAUGAGCUUCACUGAUGUAUAGAAGGUCUCAUAGUUUGUCACCAACAAACCCUGUAUCUGCUCAUCUGCUUUCCCAUAUGUUUAUAUAUUUAAUCCAUGUAAGCUGUAAAAGCCGUUCAUCCAUUCCUCUAAUCUCUUUUCUAAAAUACUUCUGUAAAUUAACCUUUCUAUUUAGAUUGAGCAGAAAGACUGAUUAAAAAUAGUGGAGAAAUCUCUCUCCAGUUCUUAGCUGUAAAAUUUUUAAGUAAAAAAUGAUUUAAACUAGGUUAUUCUUUUUGUAUAGUGUAUAUUAGUUGUAAAAUACUUUCCUUCCCCAAAGCCUGUUAAUUUGUUUCCCAUGUGCUUCUGCUAGAAUGCUGCAGAUAUUUUUGUUUGUUUUGUUCUGUUUUUUUUAAAAGUCUGGGGGACCUAUGGGCUGCUCUUCUUCACCCUUCCCUUCCAUUCCCUUUGCACACACCUUGCUUCCUUUUAAUACUUUUCACAUUUUUUAAGAAAUUUGUAAGCGUAACUAAAAUAGACUGAUCUUCAGGAAAGCAAAGUAAAUGGGAAGAUUCAAACUAAUUUUGUUUUAUAGAGGUUGGGUGUUCUGUGUUUUAUUUUUUUUUAAUGGCAGUGAGGUAAACUGAUAGAGCUUCAUUACUAUUCUAGGGUUUUUUUAAUCUACUAGUCAUUAAAUAAGAAUACAUCACUCUUAAACUUGGCAACAGAAAUCCUUCUGCAUUCUGUGCAAGUCCCUGAGAGAAUUCAUUAAUGGCCUUGUUAGUAUGAGUACACAUACUUUUUCUUUACAGGAGCUUGAGAUGUCAGAUUUUUAGAUGAAAGACUAUAUUCAGCAGCUAGGAUGCUUUGUUAUAGUGGGGUUUUUUGUCAGUCAUCUUAAAUUGCAUGAUCUGAAUCUUUUGGUGGGACAGAUGACCAGGAAGCUUAUGUAAUAAAUAACAUGAAAUGUGGUGCUCAAUAGCAGUGUUUGAGCUUUGCCUCCUUGAAUGCAGUUCUCAUGUUUAUGCAUGUUAAAUUGGCUACAGGCUAUUACAGAUAAACAAACCUGGAUUUUGUUUUUUGUACAAGUAGAGGCUUUUUGCCUCUCAGAUGAAUUUUGGCUCAGCAGUAGUCAGUUAUUUUUGGUACUUUGGUUACAAAGCACUACAUAUUUGGACAUUGGAAAAUAAGCAUCAUUUCUUCUGCAGAUAAACUUGUAUCAGUUGCAUCACUCCUGUGACCUUUAACCAGUAUUACUUAAAAUAAUUGCUAUUAAACGUAGUCAAUAUGGCUCUGCAUCUUCUAUAGAAUCUUUUACUUGGCACAGAAAAUCUGCUGCCAUCUUAAAUGAAAAAUAAACAAAGCUUGAUCAUGCAACAUUCUAAAUAGAAUAAUAACAUUAAAUGAAAAUAUUCUACCAGGAAAUCUGGGGCAAGAGCUGUUUUCUAAGGAAAGCCUAUUAGACUUGGCAGGAAAAAGGCUUUGGAAGGAGUUCUUGGGAGAUACUAUAGUUGACAGAUUUAUUCAAAUUUAUGUGUAUUUUUCCCUUUUUGAGUAAUUUAAAGAAAUCCCUCCCUCUCUAAAUCGAUUACCUCUUGACAUCAGAACUCCUUGGCAUUAAAUACUAGUUAAGCUGCUAUGGUGCUGAUUUGACUUUGCCUUUCUGUUAAAUGUAAAACAGUUUUUAAUCUUCUCAUUUAGAUGUUUUAAUAGAAAAUAAAUGUUUAACUUGCCUUGGAUGCAUCCAAAUCUGUAUUUAAUCCUUGGGAACACUUAUAAAGAAUUGAUUUUUUUUUAAUAUUAGGCAUCUAAAAGCUGUAUUAAGCAUUUUUAUAUAAGUAUGUUUUAACUAGGGAUAUUUUCUAGUUGGAAAUUGUGUAAGUAAAAUGCCUGUUAUUUUAGGCAGUGACUAAGUGUGGGUAGCUGUAUAAAAUGUGGCAAAAGGAAGCUGUUUUUCUGUGCAUCACGGUAAUAGGUGGAAAAGUUGUGAGCGGUGAACUUUUCCUGGCACAACGUACUCAGUGCUUUUGCUCGUUUCUCAUCUUCAUGCCGCGCGUCUUAGUAUCAAUUCGUAGGAUGAAUGCCACCUUUCACAUUCCCGCAUCCGUUCCAGCAGCACCGGGGCCUUUCUGGAAAGGGCUCUCAUCCAAGUAUUGAUAAGCUUAAUCCUCGUUAGCUUGUAGGAUCUUGAUGUGAGAUUGCAGCUCAAGGUGAUACGGCCAUAGAGGACAAAGCUUGUGUAGCAGUGAUUUUUUUUUUUUUUUUUUUUUUGAUUUUAUUUCAAAAUGUGUGUGUAUCCUGAGGGGAGGGAGAAAUUGGGUCGUAAAAAGCGAGCUGGGGGAAGCUGGGCUCCUGCUGGAGAAGGCUUCUGCCGCCCGUUUCACAGCCGUGCCUUGCAGCGGCUUUAGGCAGAGCAGCGGCCGAAAUUCCUUCCUGUUGGCACAGCAGCGCUGCGUGUGCGUGGUCUGACGUGCAGCGCUCCUUCUCACGGCAAGCGGGUCCGGCAGGUGCCCGGGCUCCAGUAAAUCUCGGUUCCUUUUAGAAGCAGUUUUCCCCUGGAGACCCUGUGGAUAAGAAGAUUGAUGGCGCACUCAGAAAUGUUUUUGAUUACUCUGCUGCUUAGUUGGCCCUGCAUUCAUUAUAUGCGUGUCAAGCCCUAAAAGAGUGAAGUGCAGAGCUGCUGGAGGAGUCUUGGGUCUUUGGGCUUAAUCCAGAAGGUUCUAAACGAUUUCGGCUUGAACACAACUAUUUGCUCUUCGCAGGCGUGUUUUUCCAGGUCGGACGACAGGUUUUCUGUGAUCUUUGCUGAGUGUUCCCAGGGCUCGUUGUCCAACAGAGACUUGUUUGUGAAGAAACCUGGAAUAAACAUGCAUAUUACUGCUUUCAUAUCAAUACAGAAAACUUAAAUUUUCAGGUAGGAGAAGCAAGAAGGUGAAGUAACUGUUCCUGAAGAGACAAAAACAGCACACCCCCCCCCCCCCCCGCAGUUUUGUCUUUCCAGGAUGGCAGACAGCAAAUUAUUCUUAUUUUGAAAUGUCAGAUGUUCAGCUAGCGUAAACUGUAAGUAGUGCAAAGAUUUUGGAAAAGCACCAAAUUCAGGCCCCGGAAAAACUCCUGCGCAGUGUUGAUGUGGGUUGACACUGAUCAUGUCUGCAGAAAGGAAAAAGACUCACUGAUUGUGUACAGUGUUACAUUUCCUGAGAUAUGUAGCAGAAAUAACAUAAUAUUAAUAAAUGUUAAUAAAUAACGUAACAAGUAAUAGGAGCUGAGUUAACCUUUGCAAGGCACGUGUUAGUUCCGACGUUAGUGUUUUUCUAAAGCCACCCCAGUGCGUGGUCUCUGCAUGUGUCUUUUUGAAGGUGUCAGCUUCAUGGCAGUUCUAAAGCACAGAUUGGAAGGUGCCAUUCAUACACAAAUAAGUGUAUUAUUUAUGAUCUGUAUCCACAAUGUUUUGCAAACAACCGUUACCCACUGUGAAAAUUGUCAACCAGGUUUUGAGCGGCGCAGAAUGUCAGGGGGCUUGUUACACUAUUUGAAUGCUUGAUGAGGUGGAGCCACUGAAUUUUGAGCACCAAUGUGCAAAGAUUUGUGAAUAAGACCAAAGCCUCCGAAUGGAAAGAAAUCUACAUAAAAUUUUGGAGCCACGUAACCUGAAUUUGUUCUUUUAUGGUUAACUGGAGAAGUAAAGAAUGACUUGGAGUUAAAUAGCUCAAAUGACAGACUUGUCAAUUGAUUUAUAAAUUACUGAUUUUCUAGGAAUACAGUGCUUUAUACUUUUCAGUCUUCUAGUCUUUUUACUCCACACACAAGAAAUCAAGAGUUGUUUUUUUUUCCCCCGGGUAUUUGUGUCUAUUUCUCUUCAGGUGGCUCCAUGGAUCUGUGAUUUGGGAUUUUUUUUCCUGCAGUCUUAAGUUUGUAGUCUCUUGGAUUAAACUCUACCAUUAUACAACAUUUCUUGCUUUUCUUGGAUUAAACUUUUAAAUGGUGUGUUAUUGCUUCAGACUGCCUGUUGUUAUUGCUUAUAAUGCACAGUAUCUGUUUUGAACAAACUCCACUUUUUGGUGGAGAAGUGGAUGUGGUGAUCAUAUAUGACACUUAGGCAAAAGGCAGAUGUGGAGACUUCGUUUUUAUCAGCAGAAUAGUUCUGUUCGACACGUCGCGUGUGGGAAGAGUUGAAAGUACUUUGCAGUGUCUUCAUCGCUCCCCUCCUGCCCCAUUAUCCAGAAGGGUUUUCUGACUUCGAGAAAUUGGGAAAUGUGCAUUAAACAUUGUGUAAAUAAAGUGUUUUCUGGUGUUUUGAUUGGUGUCUACAAGUUUAAUCACAGGAUUCUGUGAUUUGCAAACAUUCUGGAAGUAUGCGUUUAGCGGUAUAUACAUCUUCUAAUGUUAUAACUGUUGCUACUUUGUUAAAUGAGGUUUUAAGCAGCUGAUUUGUCAUAAAAAAGAACAGCUUUUGUUUGAAAGUUAAUAUUGCUGCCCGUUUCCCUCUAAAAGCCUGAGUAGCAUUGCAUUUGAUUCCAGUUAAGUAAAAAGAGAUUUCCAUCUUGUUUAGCAGCUUGGUUUAUUUCUUGACUUGUGGAUAUUUAUUUAAAAAAAAGACAAAGACAUUCCUCAUUUUGAUCGUGAGAAUUUCUGAAUGGAACUAUUUUUAACGGCUGCUGAUACCCAUCAGAAAAGAAUGGAUUGACAUCUCCAUGAUCUUCUGUCUUUGAAGUUUUUCCUACCUCUGGGAAAGUCUGAAAGCCUCUAGGAAGGCAAUAGCUGCUCAGAUUUAGGUAUUUGAGAAACACAGAUCUGAAUAUAGAGUUUUGAAUAGACUCUUCAUCUAUAUACAGCUUAGCCUUAUUGCUUCUCUGCUCAGUGUUGUGUACUUUGCUUCCAAUAAUGUCAAGUCGUUCAGCAACAGCAGACGUGGGAAGCUGGAUCCCGGUUUUCCUGGCUUCGUGUUGGCCAAGUAAGAGGCUGCAUGCCCUUCACUUUGCAGCUGCCUGGCUCCGUGUGGAGACGUCUCGGGCAUGGGAGGUUGUGGCUUGCUGGCUCGGGCGGUGGGUUUCCUAACAGCUUUUCUGUGCCCUCGGGGGAAGAGGCAAUGGGCUGGAGGGAAAUGUUCUGUGAGAUGCCUUUUCCAUCAUGCUGCACAUUGAGGUGGUGAAGAGGUAGUAAGUGUUGCAAUGAAGAAUUUAUCAGUACAUGUGAAAAUUCAAAACCAGCGGCCCAGACAUUAAAUGUGUGUGAGCCCAACUAGCUCCGUUAAGCUCAUAGAAGUGAGCUAACGUACACCACAAGGAUCUGGCCUAUUGGAUAUCAACACAGCACAACUAAAGAAACACUGCUAAAAUUAAUAUGCUAAAUUUAAAAUUUAUUAAGAGGGAAGGCCAUAAUAAAUGCAGAUAGAAAUGUCAGGAGCAAAAGCAGUUGCUGGUGUCAGUUUUGGUGAUGAGUGAAGGAACAAUUGCUAUUUACCGUUUAUAUACAUUAUCUGGAUCAAAUAACAAUCAAGGUAUUUUUGGGGGCUGAAAGCACAGUAGGUAUUAGAAGACAGCAUAUUUCAAGUCAGAAUAUGUUACCAGGAAGGGCAUGCACCUUUCAGGGUGGCUGAGUUCAAAGUGGUACCUACAAAUACACUGGAGAGGAGAGGAGUGUGGCUAGCAGCCUGAUGUUAAGGCCACAUUUGAGCUAUCCUGAUUCUUCUGAUUGGGAAUCCUAAUAACGCCUAAUUUCAGAGAGUUUAGGUUACAGCUAUAGGAGCAUGUUUAAUUAUACUAUGUUUAUGUCGGUGUGUACGUUUGUGCCGAUGCAGACCUGUCUCAACAUCUAAAUGUGCUAAUCUGUAACUAGUAAAUGUAGUACUCAGUUCAGUGUAUUUACCAGACUUCCACUAUUUGAAGAUACGACAUUACUGUAGGUGAUUGUCUGAAUAAAUAAAGUGCUCUGAA
Molecule: long non-coding RNA, 11028 nt
Organism: Rhea pennata
Lineage: Eukaryota; Metazoa; Chordata; Aves; Rheiformes; Rheidae
Exons: 3
Source: RefSeq, a predicted model, not a curated record